This 5020-nucleotide unclassified non-coding RNA is filed under the name Neodiprion pinetum (white pine sawfly). Its description in RNAcentral is "rUN and FYVE domain-containing protein 2-like, transcript variant X3". Lineage: Eukaryota; Metazoa; Arthropoda; Insecta; Hymenoptera; Diprionidae. The record is from RNAcentral.
AUUAGGUCGCAUUAUUUAUUUUUAUGGAACGUUAUACUUGACCUUUGAAAGAUGAGGAAAAAAAUUGUAUUCAUGCCGAAAAUUGUUCGCAUAGCGAAUAAGAAGAAAGAGAAAUGGACGAACGGAAUUUCAGUGAUUUGUCACAUUCGCGGCUUGUUUAGUAUGGAAUAAAUGAAAAUUCAUUUUCGAAUUGGAAUUGUGGCAUGUAGCAGUGAUAUAAAAGAAGUACUAAACGAUAUAACACACACAUAACAUAACGCAUUUUCACACCAAGAAACAUUAACAUGACUAUUCACAAUACGUAACAUACCUAUUGUUUCUGUGAGUCUCUACGUAUUAUUAUUGCUUACUGUUGCUUUGACGCUAAUAUGAUCGUAAAUUUCAUGCUGGUACUAACGCAAGCUGCAGGAUUGGAAAUCUAAAAAAUACAAAGAAGGUGUUGCAUACAAAGAACGAAGACAUUUAUUUGACUGGGUCAAAUAUGGUGAAACAAGUGUAUUUUAGAGUCGAAGAAAUUUUAUAAUUUGGUAAGCGAAUUGCGUUAUUUAACGAAACGCCAUUUAUCUGUCUCGAAUGAAAAAUAUUUGAGGCAAAUAAUUCUUAUGACUAAUUGUAAAUAUAUUCGGUGAAUUUGCAAAAUACUUUCUCUGCGCGUGGAGCAACCGAAAGACUCCUCUUACGUUUUGUGGGAUCAAUUUCGGAAAGUAUGAAUGCUAGAAACUGGUCAGUGUAAAACCAGACUGAUAAAAAACCUUAUUCACCAUUAACAGAAGGAAUAAAAGUAAUCUGUACUCUCUAUGUUGAAUGUCUCUCUUUCGCUUUCUUAUUGCUUUCUUGAUACUUUCUUAAGUUUUCUUUGCCGGUACUAACCCUCUUAUGCAUUUCUUGUAUCUAAUAACAAUUCUGCCACGGAGAUUGAUAACGGUAGUAAAACUGAAAGAAUAACGGACUUGAGUUGUGAACAGUUAAAUUGAUGGAAAAAUUCUUGGGAAACUAAAUUACUUUCGCUUUAAGCCACAGUGGUCUGAAAAGUGCUCGAUAGAUCGAAGGCUUUCCACAAAAUGAAUCUUUGGUUUAUUAUACAUAUAUUUGAAAAAUGGCGAGCAGAGCAAGUUAGAAUCUCAAGUCCUAGAAUCCUCCGAGAACUUUUUCCGGUCCCUGGACCUGUUAUAGGAAUACAUAUGUGUAAUGAAUCGCUGGAAAACUGAUUGUCCAACUUUUUCUCACUUCAGAGUAUUAGUAAUUCCAUGCACAAACUAUAACGACAAACAGUACAAUGGUACUGCAUCUGCGUACCUGUUAUAUCCAACAGAAUGUACCCCUAUAUGUAAUCGGUUACAAUAACGUCCAAAAGUUCUUGGACUUUCCAAUGCCAAUUUUCACGAUACCGGAUGUUGCCCAGCCUCACUCGUUCUACCUUGCCGACUGGUAAUCAAGCGGUCUUACUGCUUCUGAAUUGUGUCUAACGAAAGCAGCACCUUGCGAUGCCAGUGUUGGCGGUAUUAUUGAUUAACGUAGGUGGAGGCAAAGUCGGUGCAAAAAUCAAUAAUCGGCAGCCCCUUUGCCUCUGGACAUUUUCGCCGGGAAUUGCGCUGUCAGAGUGCAUUCGAAAGAUUUCAGUGCAAGACCUUUCGCUCUUUGCGAUGAUAACAAUUGUAUUAAGGCCAAGACUUCGUACCGGGCCGUGAAAGGUUGCGCAAAAGAAAACAGUUCGUCCUUAGAUACUACGUUUUGUAGACAUCGCUAAUCCGCGUUGCAGUGCAAUUGAUGCAAAAUAUAAUUAUGGGACCCGUGGGAGUCGCCGAAGGGAAAACGUUAAAUGAAACUACAAGCAAACUGCAGAGUACGAAUAACACGUGGUACCAGUGACUUCGGAGAGUGUGUCGUUUAUUUGUUGUUGUUCAGUUCUUUUUCCGUCAACCGUUGCGGACUUGAACCGAAUAAAUCACAAAUAUCAGUCCGAAGGAAGUGGGCCCGAGGCCCGAAUUAAAUACGAGGAUAUCCGGGAAAGGAAGCGACUGCUUGCUGGAGGACUUCCUACCAAAGUCGCCUAACCAGUCAGUUUGAAGCGUACGGAUUUUGCGAAAAGUUGCAAAAGCGGUCAGCGGUGACGCCAUAGAACCCGGUCGAUAUCGAGAACCAGAGGGCGCCUUGGACGAAUUCCUAUGCGACAAGAAUCUCAGACCGGCGUGAAGCUGCGGCCUUUCAGCGAACAUCAUCACGGGGGCGGCGGCGGCGGCGGCGACGGCGGGGUAAUGAUCGAACAAGACAUGGCCGGGGCCCAGGACACCAUCUACCUGUGCAACUUCCGGGUAUCCGUCGACGGGGAAUGGCUAUGCCUGAAGGAGCUUCAGGACGUCGAAUUCUCGAUGCAGGACUCCAUGCAGCGUUCACCGUCACCUCCGUUGCCGCUUAGCGGUACAAACCACCAUCACGAACGACACCGUCACCAACGACACGAAACUCCUUCGCUUUGCGACGCACUUAUGUCCAGCUCGCCACCAUUGCCACUCUUCUCCAGCUUCUUGUCACGAGAUCCAGUGAUUAUCGAACGAAGCAACCUAGUCAAUAUUUCGAAGCUGAUCGUUAAGGAAUUGAUCGAGACGUCUCUGAAAUAUGGACGUAUGCUGGACUCGGAUCAUAUGCCUUUGCAGCAUUUUUUCAUCGUCCUCGAACACGUCCUUAGACACGGAUUACGGCCUAAGAAGGGACUCCUUGGCCCGAAAAAAGAACUCUGGGACAUUCUUCAACUUGUGGAAAAAUACUGUCCCGAAGCACAAGAUAUCACCUCAAGUAUCCGCGACCUACCGACCGUCAGGACAGCGAUGGGCCGAGCACGAGCUUGGCUGAGGAUGGCGCUGAUGCAAAAAAAACUUGCGGAUUACCUAAAAGUGCUAAUCGAUCACAAGGACGACAUUCUAUCUGAAUACUUUGAACCGGACGCACUAAUGAUGAGCGACGAAGCCAUUGUUGUAAUGGGUUUGCUGGUUGGCCUCAAUGUUAUAGACUGCAACUUCUGUGUCAAGGAAGAAGACCUGGACUGCCAGCAGGGUGUAAUCGACUUCUCCCUUUACCUCAGAAGCAGCAAUCACAUUCCAGGCGAAUCACCGGACGACGAACUGGAGAACGACAAUAUGACCACUGUUCUAGACCAAAAGAAUUACAUCGAGGAGCUGAACAGGCAUCUAAAUGCGACUGUAACGAAUCUACAAACAAAGGUCGAAUCUCUCACCACGACGAAUGCCCUCAUGAAGGAAGAUCUGGCAAUUGCGAAAAACAAUAUUCUCUCACUCCAUGACGAGAACAGGCAACUGAAAAAAGAACUGGGCAUCGAAGUCAAGGAUCCAAACGAGAACGGAAAAGCACCCGUCAAAAUCACAGAGACUACGUCAGAGAUAGAGGAGUUGAGAAGUAGGCUAGAAGUGGAAAAAAAGCAAAGACUUGAGGCUGAAAGGGAACUGGAAUUACAGGUCAGCAUGAAGUCGGAAAUGGAGGUUGCCAUGAAAUUGUUGGAAAAAGAUAUCCACGAGAAACAAGACACUAUAAUAUCUCUGAGAAGGCAGCUGGAUGACAUCAAAUCGAUCAAUUUGGAGAUGUACAAAAAGCUGCAGGAGUGCGAGCACGAGCUGACGCAGAAAGGUGAGAUGGUGAGCCGGCUUCAUGCCAAGACGAAUCAGAUCGGAAAGUUACUGAACAACCUCGAGAAAUACAACCAUCUAAUGAAAGAUGCGGAAUGCGGUCGGAGUCCAACAACUCCAGUAACCGGAUCCAAGUCUUUUGUAAAAAAUAGUCCCACCUCGCCUAGGGUGUCCGUUGGCGAACUCGCUCGGUUCCAGCAGUCGGACCCUGAUCGGACAGCCAAUUCGGAAAAAGUACCGAGAGAAGCUUCCAUCGAGGAAGCGAAAGAUUGAGGCGUCCUAGGAUUGAGCUUACCGCUUCUUGUUUUUUACUCUUCGUUUUCGUUUUCCUUAUGGAACCAGCUCUUCACGAGUGUUUCGCAUUGAUUUGGCGCGGUAUCCACUCAAAGUUUAAAAACGUGAGGUUCGAGAGCGAAGCGUAUAACAAAAAUCAACGGAUAUUCGCUUCUAGUAUCCCUUAACAAAAUUCAAACGGCUAAUUGGUUCGCUGGUAGUGAGAAUUUGUCAAUAUGUUUUUUUUUUAUUUCCAAACUAUGAUUUCAGUUUUAUCUUUGCAACGGUAUAUAGCUGUGUAGCAGGCGCUUUGUUCUAGGGAUAUUAUUAUUGAUUGUUGGGGAUUCUAUGCUUCGCCGCGAACCAUUUUUAUAAUUAUGUUUUCCAUGGUACAAGUUUUUCCGGCUAACCCCAGGUCCACUAAGCCUAUCAUGAUACGUGAUAGUUCAAGCUGAUAAGAACGAAUUCUUGGUUGGAUUAGUGCCCAUGGCAAGUUAUUAGAUUGAUUUGCUGAAAAACAGUUGUCCUUUAUCCGAUUGAUGAAUUAUUUUCUAAUUUAAUUACAUCCGAUGGUGAGAAAAUUUGGCUGGUUCGUUAUUUGCGUACUGACUUCGCUGGAUUUGAGAUAUUCGCAGUAUGAAACCGCGAAACAUCAUUCCUUUGCUAUGUAUCUAAUUUAUUUACAUUGAGAAAAAUAUUAGUUCGUAAUUGUAUUACAGAAAUGUGAUUUUAUGUUCCGAUUGUUUUUCAGCUGUAUCCGUACUCGGUUCAUAUUUUGGACGCACAUGAUAUUAGGCACAGCAUCUAUACUCUGAAUAAUUAGCUUUGAAUCUAGAGAUUUAACGUGCGCCGAAAGCAUGGAAAUUGUAAUUAAUAUUUUUAAAAUAUUUCCAGCACGGUUACAGCGAGACGUUACCAUCGAUACUACGAAACAUUGUUUCAACGAUAUAAUUAAGAGAGAUUUAUUUCAGGAGUGUGAGGGCUCGCUUAAGCAUAAGACAGAACUGAUCAGUAAGCUGGAAGCAAAGACACAUUCCAUGACUGACACCAUUCAGAAAAUGGAUGAGAAAUGCAAGGUGCUGGAGGGCAUCCGUUCCGGUGCCGAGGAG